Molecule: long non-coding RNA, 237 nt
Organism: Nanorana parkeri
Lineage: Eukaryota; Metazoa; Chordata; Amphibia; Anura; Dicroglossidae
Exons: 3
Source: RefSeq, a predicted model, not a curated record
UCUGCAUUUCCAUUAUCAGCACUUCCCGGAGGAGAAGAGGAUUGUGGUGUCCAUGCCCGACAGCCAAAAUGCCUAUGCACGCCUGUGCUACCAGCUCAAUGCCUGUGAGGAUCUGGAGCACAGUAACAAGCAGCUGUUCAAUUCUUCGCACAAUGUCUCCUUAUCAUACGACACUCUACUUCCCUGUUUAUGUAUUGAGGUAUUUUAUGCCCGAGAAAAUAGUAGACGAAAUCAAGA